AGGAACAAGGUUUCCGUAGGUGAACCUGCGGAAGGAUCAUUAUCGAGUUUUGAACGGGUUGUAGCUGGCCUCUCACGAGGCAUGUGCACGCCUGGCUCAUCCACUCUUAACCUCUGUGCACUUUAUGUAAGAGAAAAAAAUGGUGGAAGCUUCCAGGAUCUCGCGAGAGGUCUUCGGUUGAACAAGCCGUUUUUCUUUCUUAUGUUUUACUACAAACGCUUCAGUUAUAGAAUGUCAACUGUGUAUAACACAUUUAUAUACAACUUUCAGCAACGGAUCUCUUGGCUCUCGCAUCGAUGAAGAACGCAGCGAAAUGCGAUAAGUAAUGUGAAUUGCAGAAUUCAGUGAAUCAUCGAAUCUUUGAACGCACCUUGCACUCCUUGGUAUUCCGAGGAGUAUGCCUGUUUGAGUCUCAUGGUAUUCUCAACCCCUAAAUUUUUGUAAUGAAGGUUUAGCGGGCUUGGACUUGGAGGUUGUGUCGGCCCUUGUCGGUCGACUCCUCUGAAAUGCAUUAGCGUGAAUCUUACGGAUCGCCUUCAGUGUGAUAAUUAUCUGCGCUGUGGUGUUGAAGUAUUUAUGGUGUUCAUGCUUCGAACCGUCUCCUUGCCGAGACAAUCAUUGACAAUCUGAGCUCAAAUCACUAUACUUACCAAUCUUC
Molecule: ribosomal RNA, 658 nt
Filed under: Irpex lacteus
Lineage: Eukaryota; Fungi; Basidiomycota; Agaricomycetes; Polyporales; Irpicaceae
Description: eukaryotic LSU rRNA
Rfam family: 5.8S ribosomal RNA (bases 262-415)
Source: RNAcentral